CCUACGGGUGGCAGCAGUCGAGAAUCAUUCACAAUGGGGGAAACCCUGAUGGUGCGACGCCGCGUGGGGGAAUGAAGGUCUUCGGAUUGUAAACCCCUGUCAUGUGGGAGCAAAUUAAAAAGAUAGUACCACAAGAGGAAGAGACGGCUAACUCUGUGCCAGCAGCCGCGGUAAUACAGAGGUCUCAAGCGUUGUUCGGAAUCACUGGGCGUAAAGCGUGCGUAGGCUGUUUCGUAAGUCGUGUGUGAAAGGCGCGGGCUCAACCCGCGGACGGCACAUGAUACUGCGAGACUAGAGUAAGGGAGGGGGGACCGGAAUUCUCGGUGUAGCAGUGAAAUGCGUAGAUAUCGAGAGGAACACUCGUGGCGAAGGCGGGUUCCUGGACAUUAACUGACGCUGAGGCACGAAGGCCAGGGGAGCGAAAGGGAUUAGAUACCCGGGUAGUC
RNAcentral lists this ribosomal RNA (446 nucleotides) under uncultured bacterium. Its description in RNAcentral is "partial 16S ribosomal RNA". It matches the Rfam family "Bacterial small subunit ribosomal RNA", at positions 338 to 795 of the family's 1533-position model. The record is from RNAcentral.